GAUGAACGCUGACAGAAUGCUUAACACAUGCAAGUCUUUGGCGAAGCUGUGCUUGCACAGCCUAGCCAAGGCGGACGGGUGAGUAACGCGUAAGGAACUUGCCCUGCAGUCAGGGAUAACAGACGGAAACGACUGAUAAGACCUGGUAAAGUCAGGCGGACUCAUGUCCAGCCUGAUGAAAAGAGAUGCUGCAGGAGAGCCUUGCGUCCUUUUAGCUUGUUGGUGGGGUAACGGCCCACCAAGGCGAUGAUAGGUAGCCGGCCUGAGAGGGUGGACGGCCACAAGGGGACUGAGAUACGGCCCUUACUCCUACGGGAGGCAGCAGUGGGGAAUAUUGGACAAUGGGGGCAACCCUGAUCCAGCAAUUCUGUGUGCACGAUGAAGGUUUUCGGAUUGUAAAGUGCUUUCAGCAGGGAAGAAAAAAAUGACGGUACCUGCAGAAGAAGCGACGGCUAAAUACGUG
Molecule: ribosomal RNA, 463 nt
Filed under: uncultured bacterium
Lineage: Bacteria
Description: partial 16S ribosomal RNA
Rfam family: Bacterial small subunit ribosomal RNA
Source: RNAcentral